This 531-nucleotide ribosomal RNA is filed under the name uncultured bacterium. RNAcentral describes it as "partial 16S ribosomal RNA". It matches the Rfam family "Bacterial small subunit ribosomal RNA", at positions 355 to 895 of the family's 1533-position model. The record is from RNAcentral.
UGGGGAAUAUUGGACAAUGGGCGGAAGCCUGAUCCAGCAACGCCGCGUGAGGGAUGACGGCCUUCGGGUUGUAAACCUCUUUCAGUACCGACGAAGCGAAAGUGACGGUAGGUACAGAAGAAGGACCGGCCAACUACGUGCCAGCAGCCGCGGUAAUACGUAGGGUCCGAGCGUUGUCCGGAAUUAUUGGGCGUAAAGGGCUCGUAGGCGGUUUGUCGCGUCGGGAGUGAAAACAGCGGGCUUAACUCGUUGCUUGCUUUCGAUACGGGGCAGACUAGAGGUAUGCAGGGGAGAAUGGAAUUCCUGGUGUAGCGGUGAAAUGCGCAGAUAUCAGGAGGAACACCGGUGGCGAAGGCGGUUCUCUGGGCAUUACCUGACGCUGAGGAGCGAAAGUGUGGGGAGCGAACAGGAUUAGAUACCCUGGUAGUCCACACCGUAAACGUUGGGCGCUAGGUGUGGGGUCCUUUCCACGGAUUCCGUGCCGUAGCUAACGCAUUAAGCGCCCCGCCUGGGGAGUACGGCCGCAAGGCU